RNAcentral lists this ribosomal RNA (600 nucleotides) under uncultured bacterium. RNAcentral describes it as "bacterial SSU rRNA". It matches the Rfam family "Bacterial small subunit ribosomal RNA", at positions 248 to 848 of the family's 1533-position model. The record is from RNAcentral.
GUUGGUGAGGUAACGGCUCACCAAGCCUUCGAUGGAUAGGGGUUCUGAGAGGAAGGUCCCCCACAUUGGAACUGAGACACGGUCCAAACUCCUACGGGAGGCAGCAGUGAGGAAUAUUGGUCAAUGGGCGGUAGCCUGAACCAGCCAAGUAGCGUGAAGGAUGAAGGCUCUAUGGGUCGUAAACUUCUUUUAUAUAAGAAUAAAGUGCAGUAUGUAUACUGUUUUGUAUGUAUUAUAUGAAUAAGGAUCGGCUAACUCCGUGCCAGCAGCCGCGGUAAUACGGAGGAUCCGAGCGUUAUCCGGAUUUAUUGGGUUUAAAGGGAGCGUAGGUGGACUGGUAAGUCAGUUGUGAAAGUUUGCGGCUCAACCGUAAAAUUGCAGUUGAUACUGUCAGUCUUGAGUACAGUAGAGGUGGGCGGAAUUCGUGGUGUAGCGGUGAAAUGCUUAGAUAUCACGAAGAACUCCGAUUGCGAAGGCAGCUCACUGGACUGCAACUGACACUGAUGCUCGAAAGUGUGGGUAUCAAACAGGAUUAGAUACCCUGGUAGUCCACACAGUAAACGAUGAAUACUCGCUGUUUGCGAUAUACAGUAAGCGGCC